CUCAGGCUGCCUGAUCGGCUUAAUGAUGACAAACACAAACAGGAAUCAGAUGACCGAGAGGAUCCUGGAUCUGACCCUGGAGGUCAACUACCUGCUGACUGGAGAGGUGAGGGAUUCUGGGAAUGUCACAGCAACUACACACUUUUAUCCUGUGCUUUAACAUGGAUAUUCUGAGACUUAUUAUGGACACAUUUGUGCAGUAGAUAUUGGGUAAAUAAGAUUGUGGGUCAUUAGCGGUGCUGGAUUGCAAUACUGAGAUUUGUGGAAUUUUUUUUCUGUUGGUGUUAAAGUUUGGUCAUGGUAUAAAUGUGGGGAUUGGGAUGAUUAUAAGACAUGAUUAUAAACAGGUAGCCCUAGCAUAGCAUUUCUCAGCCCUGUGCACUAUACAGGACUUUAUGAUGGAGAAGGCCGGCAUCGCACACACAGACAGGGGUAGCAGUGACAGAGGUGGGUGGUAGAAGCACAUACUAGCAGGAUUAAGGUGAUUCCUUUAUCAUGAAUAAGAUAAUGAAACCGCUUUAUAAAUAACUCCAAGGUAACAAAGUGAUGUUCUGUGUAACGUAUAGACUUAGUUGGAGAGAUCCUUUAAUACAGUGGUCUUCAACAGCUGGUUCACAAAAGCUUUCACUCAACUAUACCGUUGGGUGGAACUUUUCGCGGAUCGGAAAUAAAUUGCCACAAGAUUUUUCACUGGUGCUAUGAUCAUAGCACCCUGCAGGAUCGGAGGGAAGAUCAGAGUCCUCCCUCUCCGGCCGCCAGCAGUAUAAUGCUGGCGGGGGAGGGAGGGAGGGAAAGAGGACCCGGGGGAGCUCUACUCUGCAGCUCUGCCGGAUUCUGCUCUUGCGAGCCCGGACCGUUGCCACGUACUUUAAAAUGUACUUUCGUUUUAACGCUGAGAGUAACCCCUUACAUUAUACCUUAUGUGGCAAACCUAGCCACUUCAGACUAUUGUUUCACUUUAAGGGUUGCACUAGAAAGACUGGUUUAUAUAUGCAGUUUGAUGUAUCUGUUUAAAAUGUGAAAGAGGGAAUUCGUAUGCUGGUAGCAUGAAAGCCGCUAGCAUUCAAUGGUAGUUUCACGAACAGUGAUUUUCAACACUGUUCGUGAAACGAACAAAGUACAGAAUGGGAGCCCACACACAGGGGGUCGUGUGGCUCCCAUUAACCGAUCGCAACAAUGUAUCUAUCGGAUGUUAAUUGAUUCCCGGGUGACCGUCGUUCGACUACCGACCACGAGGCGGCGGCCAUCUUGGAUGUCCUUUUUGCCCAGCGGUGUUUGGUCGUCGAGUGCCUGGAACUGAAAUCGGCUACUCGACUGCACGAACACCGCUGGACUUCCAGGCCGUUCAGGAGCGCCGGUCUUAAGGUAUUUUUUCCCCACUUAUGUAUUCAUGUCUUUUAUGAUGAAGGUAUGUUAAAGUAUAUUUUGUGCGGCGUUCGGCUGAUUGUGUGGGGGAAUCUGAGCGGUACUUUCACUAAGUAUGCGUUCAAACCCCAGCUAUCUGCCGAACGGUCAUUCGGUACAGUGACAUGAAUAAAAUAGUUAUGGAUUUUUUAUGUAAAAAUCCAGUUCUGCUGUACGGAGGGAUAAUCCACUUAACAGGAUAUUCUAGUGGGAGUAUCCCUCUUGUACAGCAGUGCAUGGUGGGAGAAAUGUUCUAUAUGUUAAGUUCCCCAUGUAGUCCCCUACUGUACAACCCCUGUAAAGUCAGUAAGGAAACCCCUUGCAUGGGGAACCACAUAAAUACUGGAUCUGUAAAUAAAAUCGUCAGUUGACUCCCAGAACUGUGUUUCGUCCGGUUACUGGUAGAUUUGGAAUAUUGCCUUCAUUUUCAGCGCUUUCCUUGGAUUACCUUCUUUUACCAGCGGAGAUAUUUGGAUUUAAUAUUGCAGCUCCGCUACACCUUACUUACAAAGAUUUGAUAGAAAUGAAUGUAGCUGAUAUAAGUAAACCUAAGCAUAGAAAAAUAAGUAAGGGAAUCUCUGACAUACUGGCCUUAAUACAGUACUGCGGUAAAUAGCGUAAUAUAAACUGACCAGAAUAAUAAGUAAGGUAAUCUCUGACAUACUGGCCUUAAUACAGUACUGCGAUAAAUAGCCUAAUAUAAACUGACCAGAAUAAUAAGUAAGGGAAUCUCUGACAUACUGGCCUUAAUACAGUACUGCGAUAAAUAGCCUAAUAUAAACUGACCAGAAUAAUAAGUAAGGGAAUCUCUGACUUACUGGCCUUAAUACAGUACUGCGGUAAAUAGCGUAAUAUAAACUGACCAGAAUAAUAAGUAAGGGAAUCUCUGACAUACUGUCCUUAAUACAGUACUGCGGUAAAUAGCGUAAUAUAAACUGACCAGAAUAAUAAGUAAGGUAAUCUCUGACUUACUAGCCUUAAUACAGUACUGCGAUAAAUAGCGUAAUAUAAACUGACCAGAAUAAUAAGUAAGGGAAUCUCUGACAUACUGGCUAUAAUACAGUACUGCGGUAAAUAGCGCCAUAUAAACUGACCUGAAUAAUAAGUAAGGGAAUCUCUGACAUACUUGCCUUAAUACAGUACUGCGGUAAAUAGCGUAAUAUAAACUGACCAGAAUAAUAAGUAAGGGAAUCUCUGACAUACUAGCCUUAAUACAGUACUGCAGUAAAUAGCGUAAUAUAAACUGACCAGAAUAAUAAGUAAGGGAAUCUCUGACAUACUAGCCUUAAUACAGUACUGCAGUAAAUAGCGUCAUAUAAACUGACCAGAAUAAUAAGUAAGGGAAUCUCUGACUUACUGGCCUUAAUACAGUACUGCGAUAAAUAGCGUCAUAUAAACUGACCAGAAUAAUAAGUAAGGGAAUCUCUGACAUACUGGCUAUAAUACAGUACUGCGGUAAAUAGCGCCAUAUAAACUGACCAGAAUAAUAAGUAAGGGAAUCUCUGACAUACUGGCCUUAAUACAGUACUGCGGUAAAUAGCGUAAUAUAAACUGACCAGAAUAAUAAGUAAGGGAAUCUCUGACAUACUGGCCUUAAUACAGUACUGCGGUAAAUAGCGUAAUAUAAACUGACCAGAAUAAUAAGUAAGGGAAUCUCUGACAUACUGGCCUUAAUACAGUACUGAGGCGAAUAGCGCCAUAUGAAAACUGACCAGAAUAAUAAGUAAGGGAAUCUCUGACAUACUGGCCUUAAUACAGUACUGCGGUAAAUAGCGUAAUAUAAACUGACCAGAAUAAUAAGUAAGGGAAUCUCUGACAUACUGGCCUUAAUACAGUACUGGCGAAUAGCGUAAUAUAAACUGACCAGAAUAAUAAGUAAGGGAAUCUCUGACUGGUACUGAAAUAGCGUAAUAUAAACUGACCAGAAUAAUAAGUAAGGGAAUCUCUGACAUACUGGCCUUAAUACAGUACUGCGGUAAAUAGCGUAAUAUGAAAACUGACCAGAAUAAUAAGUAAGGGAAUCUCUGACAUACUGGCCUUAAUAGCAGCGUAAUAUAAACCGGACCAGAAUAAUAAGUAAGGGAAUCUCUUGACUUACUGAUAUACGCUGCAUCAUGCAAAUAGCGAAUAUAAACUGACCAGAAUAAUAAGUAAGGACCCUGACAUACUGGCUAUAAUACAGUACUCAUGCAAAUAGCUGCACAUAAACCGUGGACCAGAAUAAUAAGUAUGGAACCCUGACAUACUGGCUAUAAUACAAAGUACUGCGUAAAUAGCGCAAUAUAAACUGACCAGAAUAAUAAGUAAGGGAAUCUCUGACUUACUGGCCUUAAUACAGUACUGCGGUAAAUAGCGUAAUAUAAACUGACCAGAAUAAUAAGUAAGGGAAUCUCUGACUUACUGGCUAUAAUACAGUACUGCGGUAAAUAGCGUAAUAUAAACUGACCAGAAUAAUAAGUAAGGUAAUCUCUGACAUACUGGCUAUAAUACAGUACUGCGGUAAAUAGCGUAAUAUAAACAGACCAGAAUAAUAAGUAAGGGAAUGUGGCAAACCUAGCCACUUGGGACUGCCUAAGAUAGAAUGGUUGUGCCUAUUUUCUGUUGUGUACUGCGCGCCGGUAUAGUGUUGCGUCUCCGGCUAUGUUUAAUUUAUGCUGUACUGUGUAUGUCUGUUCGAAUCCUCCCCAUUCGUUAGCAUUGCUAUUAAAACUGACUAAGUUGUAUAUUUUGAAGUAGAAAGGUAAUGGUUUAUGUCCUCGUAGUUUUCAUUACUGUAUGUUACAGCAGGGGCUGUUGGGAGGAGGACCUGGAAACGGUAGUCUCCCUCCAGUCCCCUCAACCAAAACCCCUGCUGCCCAUCUUUGGAAACCCCUGUUGAGUGACCUGCUUUAAAUAUCAGUUAUUUUUAAUAAAGUGACAGNNNNNNNNNNNNNNNNNNNNNNNNNNNNNNNNNNNNNNNNNNNNNNNNNNNNNNNNNNNNNNNNNNNNNNNNNNNNNNNNNNNNNNNNNNNNNNNNNNNNGAGGAGACCCCAUUUGAACGAGAAAUGAGGACAAGAUUGGCAUUUUGGCCCGCUCCAGUAUCUCCAGAAAUUAUGACCAUAAUUUCGGCGGAUGCACAGGAGUACGUGAUGGCGCAAAGGAAUCAAGCCUUCUCACCUCAAGCAGAAACUGCUGCUGUUUCAACUGUGGGCCAGGGAAGGCCAAAAAUACCACAUCAUGCAUUUAAAACUUUUUGCGAGGAUAAAGACGAAAUAGAUGGAUUCUUGCAAGAUUUUGAAAGAUUGUGUGACUUGCAUGAUGUAGAGCAAGCUAUGUGGGUACCUUUGUUGGCAGGCAAACUGUCUGAGCGUGCAGCAGACGCCUACCGGGCUGUACCCAGAGAGGACAGCAAGAAUUAUGACAAGGUAAAGCAGGCGCUAUUAGAAAGGUAUGCCAUUACCCCAGAGGCAUACCGGCGCAAGUUCCGAGAAUUGAAAAAAGGGGACAAAGACUCACAUUCGGAGUGGGCACACAAGCUUGACCAAGCCUCACAAGGCUGGAUACAAGCCAGCAGAGCUACCACCAUGGAAGAGUUACGCCAGAUGUUGCUACUGGAGCAGUUUUGUAAUGGCCUGGCACCAGAGGCUCAAGAAUGGGUGAAUGACCGAAAUCCUCACACCCUAACCGAAGCGGCAUGAUUGGCGACCAACAUUAUGAUGCUAGGAGGCAUCAUAAAAAUAAUAACCGAGGGUAUGCAAAACCCAACCCGCAACCGUUUCCAGUUAUUGCUCCUGCCCCAGCGACAGCACCAUCCAGACCAGCACUUGUGGGACAACCUCCCCACUCCCGUUAUAAUGGCAGGUCCAACAUCCAGUGCCAUGCCUGUAAGCAAUGGGGGCACAUGGCCCGGGAGUGCACCCAAAACCGGAGCCGCAAGAUCUGGAAUCAGCUCCGGCAGAAUAUGGCCCCGCGGGCAGCUGCUCAUUAUUAUCAUGCAGAGCCAACUUUGCCAGGCGUGCCGCUUGAGUCGGCUGAUGAACCCCUGGGCGUUUUGCACGAUGUAAUGUCCACCCAUGCUACUGACAACCGACAACCACAUUGCCAGACCGUGACUCUGGAAGGGAAAGAGGUACAGGGGCUACGUGAUUCCGGCGCUACCUUAACUUUGGUUGCCCCGCAUUUGGUGUCAGGAUCAGCACAUACAGGGGGAUCGGUAGCAGUCCGGGUAGCAGGGGGUGCCAUGUACCGGCUACCAACUGCCAAGGUACAUCUGAAUUGGGGUGCGGGGGAAGGUAUGGUGGAGGUGGGGCUGAUGCACAAGUUACCAGCUGAUGUUGUUUUGGGGAAUGACCUGGGGCAAAUGACUUCCACUUUUGUGCCCCAAAGUCCUCGCCAUGAGGCAUAUCCAGUGACCACCCGUCAGCAGGCUCGCACCACGGCUUCAUCUUCCACACACUCUGAGGCUCAGGUAAGAGACAAUGUACCCCGUGUAACCUGUGUUUCCUGGGAUACCCCGACUGACUUUGAGGCAGAGGUUAAAAACGAUCCCACGUUGCAAAUUUAUAAGGAUAAGGCGACAGCUGGUCAGACAGGUUUAGAGGGAGAACAGUAUGUAUGGGAGAAAAAUCUGUUAUAUCGUGUUGCUGAGCGGGUGGUAGGGGGUCUGUACAUGUGACUAAUAAGCAGCUUAUAGUUCCCCAGAAAUACCGGCAGGAACUGCUUAGAAUUGCCCACGAUAUUCCGCUGUCUGGGCAUUUAGGGAUGACAAGAACGAGGUACAGAUUGACACAUGCAUUUUUCUGGCCAGGUAUAUCUAGAGAUGUGAGACAGUAUUGUCAGACAUGUGACAUUUGUCAGAGAGUGGGAAAAAGGGGUGACCGCCACAAAGCGAAAUUGUGCCCCUUCCCAUUAUUGAAGAACCCUUUAGCAGAGUAGCAGUGGAUAUAGUAGGACCACUGUCCAAGCCUAGCCCUUCCGGCAAGCGGUAUAUUCUGACCAUUGUAGAUUAUGCCACCCGGUACCCGGAGGCUAUAGCCCUUUCCAAUAUACAAGCAGAAACGGUAGCCGAAGCUAUGAUGAAGAUAUUUUCCAGGAUGGGAUUUCCCCAAGAGAUAAUUCGGAUAGAGGGACCCAAUUUACAGCCGAAGUGACCCACCAGCUAUGGAAGUUAUGUGGCAUUAAGCCAAUUGUAAAUUCUGCCUAUCACCCGCAGUCCAAUGGGUUGUGUGAGCGCUUUAACGGUACCUUGAAGCAGAUGCUCAGGACAUUUGGGGAGUCCCAUAAAGACUGGGAGAGGGUUUUACCCCAUCUGCUUUUUGCGUACCGAGAAGUGCCACAGGAAUCUACCGGCUUCUCUCCGUUUGAGUUAUUGUUUGGGAGAAGGGUGAGGGGACCCCUAGACUUAAUUAGAGAACAUUGGGAGGGGGGGAGCAGUGCAGAUGGAGUCCCCAUUGUACCAUACGUGCUGGAGUUCCGGGACCGCUUGGAGGCUCUAACCCAAACCGUACGGGAGAACCUCCGGGCGGCUCAGCGGCGACAGCACCGGUGGUACGAUAGGGGAGCCAGAGACCGUAGCUUUCAGGUGGGACAGAAAGUUCUAAUUUUGAAACCUGUCCGCACAGACAAGCUACAGGCCACCUGGCAGGGCCCAUAUCAAGUGGUAGAACAGAGAUGUGACACCACUUAUGUGAUCGGCCCGUGCUCUGGGGUAGGGAAACGACGCAUGCUCCAUGUGAACAUGCUCAAACCCUAUCACCAGAGAAUAGAGGAGGUAGCAGCCAUCUGUGCCCCAGCCACUGAGGAUUAUGAGAAUCUGCCUUUGCCAGACAUGUUAGAAAAGGAAGAUUCUGCAGAAAACGCUACAGGUGUGCAGCUGGGGGAGCGGCUAAGUCUCCAGGAGCGUGCCCAGGUACAGGAGUUGAUUGCGGCAAAAGGUGCUACCUUCUCCAAUUUACCAGGGUACACUUUGUUAGCUACCCACCGAGUAGAGACCCCAGGACAGCUCCCUAUGAGACAGACUCCGUAUCGUAUCCCUGAAGCAGUAAGGGAGCACAUGAGGAAAGAAAUUGAGGAAAUGUUGCAGUUAGGGGUUAUCGAACAUUCAGAUAGCCCCUGGGCAUCACCGGUAGUGCUAGUACCCAAGAAGGAUGGCACCACGCGGUUUUGUGUAGACUACUGGAGGCUCAAUGACAAAACAGUGUCUGACGCCUACCCGAUGCCACGUAUAGACGAGCUGCUAGAUAGGAUGGCAAGAGGCCAGUAUCUCACUACCAUUGAUCUGUGUAAGGGAUACUGGCAGAUUCCACUAGCCGAGGAGGCCAUCCCCAAGUCGGCGUUUGUCACCACGUUUGGCCUGUAUCAAUUUCGGGUCAUGCCUUUCGGGAUGAAAAACGCUCCGGCUACCUUUCAGAGGAUGGUAGAUCGGCUACUGGACGGGUUCCAAGAGUACGCCUGUGCGUACUUAGAUGAUAUAGCCAUUUAUAGCCAGACCUGGGCGGAUCAUUUGAAACAUAUUAGUGUGGUCAUUGACCGUAUUGGAGAGGCAGGGCUGACACUAAAACCUAGCAAGUGUCACAUAGGGAUGGCAGAGGUGCAGUACCUGGGUCACAGGGUAGGAUGCGGACAGCAGAGGCCCGAAACGGCCAAGAUAGAGGCAGUAGCUAAGUGGCCUACCCCCAGGACAAAGACACAAGUAUUGGCGUUCCUUGGUACCGCUGGUUACUACAGAAAAUUUGUGCCCAAUUACAGCGCCCUGGCCAAACCCCUGACGGACUUGACCAAGAAAAACUUGCCACGACAGGUCAACUGGGCCCCAGAGUGUGAACAGGCAUUCCAUGAACUAAAAACUGCAUUAACUAAGGCUCCUGUGUUAACUGCCCCUGAUCCAACUAAACGAUUUCUUGUUCACACAGACGCUUCCAUGUUUGGAUUGGGGGCAGUACUGAUCCAAGUGGGAGCUGAUGGCGGAGAACAUCCCGUAGCUUACUUAAGCAGAAAAUUACUACCAAGGGAAGUAGGCUACGCCGCCAUCGAGAAGGAAUGCCUGGCCGUGGUGUGGGCCCUCAAAAAGUUACAACCUUAUUUGUAUGGACAACCAUUCUCCUUGCUCACAGAUCACAACCCGUUGGUGUGGCUACACAGGGUGUCAGGAGACAAUGCCCGGCUGUUGAGCUGGAGUUUGGCGCUGCAGCCGUUUGAUUUCACGAUCCAUUAUCGCCCUGGAAAACAGAAUGGUAACGCCGAUGGGUUGUCCAGACAGACAGAACUUGAGAAAUGAUCUGUGAGCACUCCCCCGGACAUCCCCAAGCAGAUCCGUUGGGAUCAGACUGUGUAUGCCGGCUUGGUUUUGGGGGAGCAUUGUGGCAAACCUAGCCACUUGGGACUGCCUAAGAUAGAAUGGUUGUGCCUAUUUUCUGUUGUGUACUGCGCGCCGGUAUAGUGUGGCGUCUCCGGCUAUGUUUAAUUUAUGCUGUACUGUGUAUGUCUGUUCGAAUCCUCCCCAUUCUACCAGCAGAGAUCCUGGGAUUAUAAAAUUGCAGCUCUGCAACACUGUGUAUAGAAUGUAUGGGGGUAAAUAUACACCCCCUGUAUAUACUGUGUAUAUAAUGUAUGGGGUAAAUAUACACCCCCUGUAUAUACUGUGUAUAGAAUGUAUGGGGUAAAUAUACACCCCCUGUAUAUACUGUGUAUAGAAUGUAUGGGGUAAAUAUACACCUCCUGUAUAUACUGUGUUUAUAAUGUAUGGGGGUAAAUAUACUCUGUGUCUGUUGGAGUGCUCGGAGUCCUCGGCAAGCGCUAGGUGCAUCAAUUGGCGGAGUGCCAGCGGUCCGUCACACAUGGCGCCCAGUUACUGUAAGGCAGAGUUUGACAAUCUGCUGACGUGGCUGCUGGCUUUCUAUGGACCUAACUCCGCUGUGUAAUAUACAGGACCCAAGGAAUAUCAUUGGCCAGGCACCUACAGCACAAAGCAGAGCGGCAGUGGGAGUUAUUGGGUGGGAACACCUGCAGUGGUUAUGGUGCUGAGGUCUUGGUUCCCUCUCCCCACAGCUGAGCAUGAGUGAUUAUAGCUGUAACACACGAAAACACACGGGCUUUUAUGAGAAAUCCUCCUGCAAGAUGACCUCCCACAGCAAGCAAAAGCAACAGCCAAUCAUCACACAGAUUUAUAGUAUUACACGCCUCCUCUCUGCCUGGGAGAUAUUGAGAAAAGUUAAGGAAUAAACCAAUUAUCUCCAGGCAGAGAGCACAUAAUUUCCCCAAAACUUAGAACACCCCUUUCCCCACAAGGUAUCCCCACAAAUUCCCCACAAGGUAUUCCCCACAUAUCCCCUGAUAGCCCCGAUCUGGGGACAAACAUAUCCAAAUUUCACCCAGAUCGGUUCAGGGGUUCUGAAAAAGUGUGGAGGGUCCCUUUUACCGAAAAAAUUUUGUUUUUUGCAUUUUUCACACACAAACAAAUAUGAACGCUAAAUUUGGCCAGUGUUUGUAACUAAGUGGCUACUAGAAAAGACUGGACAUACCCCAUUUGCAAUUCCUUGGGUUGUCUACUUUUGCAAAUGGGGGUAAUUUUCAUUCCUGGGAUACCAUACGCUCUCAAAGGCAACAUAACCAAUCUGGCAAAUUUCAAUGUGUAUAAACUGAAAAAUGUAACAUGCUAUAUUUCACCCUGUAACUUCCCAAAACACCAUAAAACCUGUACAUAGGGAGUACUAUUUUACACGUGAGACAUCACUGAAUACAAAUAUGUGUUCUUUAUUGCAGUAACAGCUAACAGUAUUGUGACAUUCACAGUUAAAAUGCUAUGCAGAACUAAUAAAAAAUAACAUUUAUUUUCUAACACUUUUUUAUAUUAAAUUAAGCUUAUUAUACAAAUAUUUGAUGUGACAUUAAAGCCCUGUUUCUCCUGAACAGAAUUAGGCAGAACUACCAAUUUUUUUUAAUUUAUUUUUUUAAUUAAAUUUCUCACAGUUUUUUUUACAUUUUUUUAUUCAUAUAUGAAUAGUUCAUGAGGAAUUAAAGCCAUGUUUCUCCUGAACAGAAUUAUAUAUGAUAAGUGUGGGUGCACAUAAUAUGAAAGAGGUAAAUUACGCCUGAACAGACAUGUAGCGCAAAUUCAAGUUUUUGUUUACGUUUUGUUUUGAUCACAACGUGUACAUUUGGCUCAGUCCUUAACCCCUUCAGGACGGAGUCAAUAGUACACGUUGUGAUCAAAACAAAACGUAAACAAAAACUGCAAUUUGCUCUAUAUGUCUGUUCAACCGUAAUUCACCUCUUUCAUAUUAAAUGCACCCACAAUUAUUACAUAUCAUUUUGUUCAGGAGAAACAUGGCUUUAAUUUCUCAUGAGCUAUUCAUAUAUGAAACAUAACUUAUUAUGAAUAAAAAUUAAAAAUAAAAACUGGUGAGAAAUGUAAUUUAAAAAAAAAAAAUUGGUAGUUCCGCCUGACAUUUUAGCUGUAAAUGUCAUAAUACUGUUGGCUUUUACUGCAAAAAAAUACACAUACAGUUGCAAGAAAAAGUAUGUGAACCCUUUGGAAUGAUAUGGAUUUCUGCACAAAUUGGUCAUAAAAUGUGAUCUGAUCAUCAUCUAAGUCACAACAACAGACAAUCACAGUCUGCUUAACCCCUUAGGGACACAUGACAUGUGUGACAUGUCAUGAUUCCCUUUUAUUCCAGAAGUUUGGUCCUUAAGGGGUUAAACUAAUAACACACAAAGAAUGAAAUGUUGCCAUGUUUUUUUGAACACACCAUGUAAACAUUCACAGUGCCGGUGGAAAAAGAAUGUGAACCCUUGGAUUUAAUAACUGGUUGAACCUCCUUUGGCAGCAAUAACUUCAACCAAACGUUUCCUGUAGUUGUAGAUCAGACGUGCACAACGGUCAGGAGUAAUUCUUGACCAUUCCUCUUUACAGAACUGUUUCAGUUCAGCAAUAUUCUUGGGAUGUCUGGUGUGAAUCGCUUUCUUGAGGUCAUGCCAGAGCAUCUCAAUCGGGUUGAGGUCAGGACUCUGACUGGGCCACUUCAGAAGGUGUAUUUUCUUCUGUUUAAGUCAUUCUGUUGUUGAUUUACUUCUAUGCUUUGGGUCAUUGUCCUGUUGCAACACCCAUCUUCUGUUGAGCUUCAGCUGGUAGACAGAUGGCCUUAAGUUCUCCUGCAAAAUGUCUUGAUAAACUUGGGAAUUCAUUUUUCCUUCGAUGAUAGUAAUCCGUCCAGGCCCUGACGCAGCAAAGCAGCCCCAAACCAUGAUGCCCCCACCACCAUACUUCACAGUUGGGAUGAGGUUUUGAUGUUGGUGUGCUGUGCCUUUUUUUCGCCACACAUAGUGUUGUGUGCUUCUUCCAAACAACUCAACUUUGGUUUCAUCUGUCCACAGAAUAUUUUGCCAGUCCUGCUGUGGAACAUCCAGGUGCUCUUGUGCAAACUGUAAACGUGCAGCAAUGUUUUGUUUGGACAGCAGUGGCUUCCUCUGUGGUAUCCUCCCAUGAAAUCCAUUCUUGUUUAGUGUUUUACGUAUUGUAGAUUCGCUAACAGGGAUGUUAGCAUUUGCCAGUGACUUUUGUAAGUCUUUAGCUGACACUCUAGGAUUCUUCUUCACCUCAUUGAGCAGUCUGCGCUGUGCUCUUGCAGUAAUCUUUACAGGACAGCCACUCCUAUGGAGAGUAGCAGCAGUGCUGAAUUUUCUCCAUUUAUCAAUAAUUUGUCUUACCGUGGACUGAUGAACAGCAAGGCUUUUGGAGAUACUUUUAUAACCCUUUCCAGCUUUAUGCAAGUCAACAAUUCUUAAUCGUAGAUCUUCUGAGAGCUCUUUUGUGCAAAGCCUCAUUCACAUCAGGCACCUACAUACAACCAAUCCUGGGACUACCUACUCAUCUGAUGAGAACAUCUACUUAACUGGUAAUUAUGCUGGUUUUAUUUAAUUAAUCUAACUUAAUGAAAAAUCUAAUAGCAUGAUAUGACUGGAUAAAUCACGGUCAGAUUUCAAUAUUUAGAAAUCUUAGUUAACUAAAGAAUCUAUAGCUAUAAACAUUCCAUUCUGCAGGUGGAAUUAAGAAUAAUGAUAUAUUAACCCCUUAAGGACGGAGCCAAAUGUACACAUUGUGAACAAAACAAAAUGUAAACAAAACCUGGCAUUUGCGCUACAUGUCUGUCCAACCGUAAUACACCUCUUUCAUAGUAAAUGCACCCACCCUUAUUAUAUAUCAUUUUAUUCAGGGAAAACAGGGCUUUCAUUUAAUAUCAAAUAUUUAGCUAUGAAACAUAAUUUAAUAUGAAAAAAAUGGGAGAAAAUACGAUUUUUUUGAUUUUUUUAGUUCUAAAUUGCAUUUUAAAGGUCAGUGUCAUAAUACUGUUUGAUUUUACUGCAAUAAAAUACACAUAUUUGUAUUUAGUAAAGUCUCACGUGUAAGACAGUACCCCCUAUGUACAGGUUUUAUGGCGUUUUGGGAAGUUACAGGGUCAAAUAUAGCACGUUACAUUUGAAAUUGAAAUUCGCCAGAUUGGUUACGUUGCCUUUGAGACUGUAUAGUAGCCCGGGAAUGAAAUUUACACCCAUAAUGGCAUACCAUUUGCAAUAGUAGACAACCCAAGGUAUUGCAAAUGGGGUAUGUCCAGUCUUUUUUAGUAGCCAUUUGGUCACAAACACUGGCCAAAGUUAGCGUUAGUAUUUGUUUGUGAAAAAUGCAAAAACGCCAAUUUUGGCCAGUGUUUGUGACUAAGUGGCUACUAAAAAAGACUGGACAUACCCUGUUUGCAAUACCUUGGGUUGUCUACUACUGCAAAUGGUAUGCCAUCAUAGGGUAAUUUUCAUUCUUGGGCUACCAUAGGGUCUCAAAGGCAACGUAACCAAUCUGGCUAAUUUUAAUGUGAAAAAAAUGAAACGCAAGCCUUAUAUUUGACGCUGUAACUUUUGAAAACACCAUAAAACCUGUACAUGAGGGGUACUGUUGUACUCGGGAGACUUCGCUGAACACAAAUAUUUGUGUUUCAAAACAGUAAAAAGUAUCACAGCAAUAAUAUUGUCCGUGUAAUGCUGUUUGUGCAUGAAAAAUGCAAAAAACUUCACUUUUACUGGCAUAUCAUCGUUGUAAUACAUUUUACGUUUUGAAACACUAAUAUUUGUGUUCAGCGAAGUCUCCCGAGUAGAACAGUACCCCCAUGUACAGGUUUUAUGGUGUCUCGGAAAGUUAUAGGGUUAAAUAUAGUGCUAGCAAAUUAAAUUCCCUUUACUUUCGGCAUGGGUUGUCAGGCAGGUCCUGCUAAUUGUAAUUAAUUAAGAUACCUAAUUAUGUAAAAAUAUUACAUAAAUAUAUAUGUAGAAUUAAUAUAUGUAUAUAUAUACGUAUGUGUAUAUAUAUGUAUAUAUCUAUAUAAUUUUUUUUAAAUAUUUUUAUUUAUAUAUAGGUAUAUAUAUAGUGAUAUAUACGUAUAUAUUUAUGUAUAUAGAUAUAUAUAUAUUUCGUUCUACGUGUAUUUUGAUAUAUAUAUAUAUAUAAAUUUCACAAAACAGUUAGAACGAAAUAACACACAUCUAUAUAUUUUUUAAUUAUUUAUUUUUAAUUAUUUUUUAAUUUUAUUUUUUAACGUAUUUACAUUUUUAUUUUUUUAUAUUAUAUAUAAAUAUAUAUAUACAAUAAUUAUAUAUAUAUUUAAUCAGUAUCAGUCUACGUGUAAUUUGAUAUUAAUAUAUAUAUAUAAUUAUAUAUAUAUUAAUAGUAAAAUACACCUAGACGGUGUAUGUGUGUGUAUGUAUAUGUGUAUAUAUAUAUUUAGAUCAUAUAUAUAUAAUAUAUAUAUAUGAUCUAAGUAUAUAUAAUUAUUUUUUUUUACACCAUUAACUUAUUUUACUUUUAUUUUCAGCCAGCAGGGGGACCACCUGUCAUUACAGGCAGCCCCCCUGCCGGCAAUACAGAAGCCAGCUAUACCCGGCCAUGUGAUUGUGGGGUCCUCGCUAGGACCCCACUCUCACAUGGCCAGGGGCUUCAACGAGGACGGAUGUGCCGCGGGGGCUCCCUGGGAAUCCCCCCAACCGCGAUCGCCGGCGUGGGACCGCCGGCGACCGGGUAAGUUAACAAAAACCGGAGGGCGUACAAUUACGCCCGGCGGCGUUUAGAGCCGCCUAUUAGAGGGCGUAAUUGUACGUCCUCCGGUUUUAAGGGGUUAAUGUGAUAUCACGUGUUAGCAUACCGAUGUUUUUAUCCAGGUGUAUUGAUUUGCUCUUAAUAAGAUAAGAUAUCUUUUUAGGCAAAUUAAAAUUCGGCUUAUAGAAUCUGGUAGAUUAUUCUUAUUGGAUGGUUCCAGGAAAUGAUUAAUGAGCUGGUUUAAAUGUUAUUUUAUUUGAAAAUUACAUAAGAAUAGGAUAUUAAAUGCCGAAGAGGAUCUAGCCAGCAUUGAAAGGGUUACUCAGUUAACUGUUAGCCAAGGAUUUUACGACCCUUCGCUGCACUGUGUGAAGUUUUGCUUUCUGUCUAAAGUACCUCAUAAAUCUUGUCUUGACAAUUGAUGCUGUUAGCCAUUGGAACGUGUUUUAACAUAGCCAUUGUAUUGCAUACUCAUGUUAUACUAAAUAUUAACUGAUUAUUAUCAUGCAUGUUGCCUAAUAUUAUUAUUAUUUGUCACAAUAAAUGAUAUCUAUUUUUAUAACAAAUUGUGAUUUUAUUUGUAUGGUAUACAUUUCACUUACAUGAUAACGAUUUCUAAGAUCUGAGAGAAUUGAAAUAGUGGGCAAUUCUCGACUGUUUAAUAUUAUCAUCCCAUAAAUAUCCCCACAAGAUUAGCCUACUAUCGAUAUUCGCAGAUACUCUGUGCUGGUUAUGAUAACAUAUCCAGAAGCCUUACAGUCAUGCACUAUCUAGAAGACUUCUUGUUGAUCAAAUAUAACAUAUUUUUCACUAGAAGCCUCACGGCAGCUUAGUCAAGUUGACCACUUGGGCGUCCCAGUACCCCAUAAGAAACAGAAGGCCCAGACACUAUCUUCACAUUACUGGGCAUAUGACUUGAGUCGGCAUCCAUACACCCAAGUUACCACAAGACAAAUAGGGAACAUUCUCAACAACAUCAAUCACUACCUCCUGCUUAGUACUUACAACUGCAAGGAACUUCAAUCCCUACCAGGUUCCUUAAUUUUGCCAUGCCAAUCAUACCACAAGACCACGCUUUCACAUCCAGAGUACUUUCCCCUUUUUUCCACACUUGCAACAUGACGAUCAGAGGAUAUCCCUAGACACCCCAGCAACAGCAGACCUGCACAUGGGGAGGGAUUUCUUAACCACUUGGCAUGGUAAAAGCAUGUUCCUUCCAGGAUUGUCUGACACUUCUCCAACCAGAUGGUCAGACGCGGCGUCUACCACGGGUUUGGCAGCGAUCUACCGGGAGCGAUUGCUUUGGAGCUGUUGGCCAUGGCAUCCAGGUUUGGAAAUUUUUCCACCACCUCAGCCCCUUUGGGGGAUCUACCCCAUUGUAGCAUCUGCUGUGGCAUGGGGUAAAUCAUGGUCAGGAUCAUCAAUCCGUUGUUACUCAGACAACUAAGCACAUGUCAUAUCGUCAACAAAUGUCACUACUCAUCCAUAAGGUCAUGAUAAUUCUGGGGAACUCACUUGGUUGGCAACUUAUCACAUUUCUUUUACGUUCAUGUACCAGGCGGGGGUAUACAUCCCUGCCGACAAUUGUCUCAUUUAUAUUCCAGGCAUGUUCAUCAUACGCUUCCUACAGCCGCCCAUACAGUCACGGACACUCUUUUGUUCCAGAGACAAAAUCAUAGAUUAGACAUACUCAUGCAGCAUAGCAUGCACUAUCCCACCUAGCACUUUCGUCCCAUACUUUUAGAAUGCAUAACACAGCUUUUCACCUGUCUUAAAGACUCUCAUUGGAACACGACAUAGCUCAACCUGUGUCAUAACAUUUCUCCUAGGUUUUGUUUCUUUUUGCCGCCUUAAACUUAAAAUGACAAUUAAAAUCCAUUCCCCCACGUUCCUCUCAGAGAUUACCAAUAGCCAUCCAACUUUUCAUCCUUAUUGGAACUAUUAGAUCUACAACCAUUCAAUUAUACUACCAAGUCGGCCAUUACCAGCCAUGCACAUUGCCUUCUAUGCCUUUCUCAGGCCAGAGAAUCCACUACCAUCACCACCACUUAGACAGAUCAUUGUCUUCAACGAUCCCACGUACGUAAACACAUAGAUCACUACCUAUUGGCUCUACCACAUUCCGAAACGAGUCAACACGCACCAACAGUAGAGAUAACAUACUAUUCUACCCACAACAAAUGUUGUCCACUUUCGGUCCUAGAUUCCUACCUUCAAAAUCCUUCCAGGAAUUACUGUAAUGCAUUUAAGGAAAUGGUUAAUUUGUAUAUAUUUGUUGACUGUAUUAAAUCUUUGAUUAUUCAUUUUUGCCCUCUUUAUUUACAGGCCUACCAUAUCGUCUGUCUCGGCACACCACAACCGACUUGCUCCCUUUAUACUAUCCUACGUCUAUGCUGGAUCCUUACUCCAUAUACGACUAUUUGCCCCUUACACAAAUAUAUAUAUAUAUAUAUAUAUAUAUAUAUAUAUCUCAAAAUACAGUUAGAAUGAAAUUACAAAUGUGUAUAUAUAAUUUAUUUUAUUUUUAAAUGUUUUAUUUAUUUAUUAUUGUAAUUAUACGUGUGUAUAUAUAAAUAUAAAAUAUAUAUAUAUAAAUUAUAUCCAUAAAUACAAUACCGCACUCAAAAAAAAGGUAAGAAUCAAUUAAUAUAUAUGCCAAGAAAAUUAAUUUAUUAUACAGAAACUAUAUAUAAAUUCAGGAGUGAGUAAUGAGUAGUGAUUUCCUUAUAAAUUCAUCAAUUUAAACAAUUUCAUCGUAUAUAUAUCCCAAUAUAUAUACAAUUAUUUACAGUCUGUGUACAUGUGAAGAAUGGAGUUCAAUAGUUCAUAGAUGUUUUCAGGUGGAUCCACCACUAAGUAGUUUUGUAUGAGUGAAAAAAACUGUAAAAACAGAAGAAAAAAUAUAGGGAGAAAAAUAAUAUAUAUAAAAAAAAAUAUAUAGCUAUAUGCCAAAAUAAACAGUCCAAUUGCAUGUAAUGAGAAAAUGAAAAAAUGAUGUGAAUCAGAAAAAUAAAAAAUAAAAAAAAUAAUUAUGAUCAAACAAAAGUAAAUGCAAAAAAAGAGUAUAGUUUCUGUAUAAUAAAUUAAUUUUCUUGGCAUAUAUAUUAAUUGAUUCUUACUUUUUUUUGAGUGCGGUAUUGUAUUUAUGGAUAUAAUUUGUGCAUUUUUUUGAGGUUGUUAUGGGAAACUCCUCCAAUACCAGCACCAUUUAGUAGCAGAGUGCCAACACACAUUGAAGUUUUUUUGUUAUAUGUAUAUAUGUAACGUCAUUCUAAGUGUAUUUUAAAACUAAUAUAUGUACUUAUAUUAACAUAAAAAUAUACUAUGUAUGACAUUACACACACACACACACAUAUAUAAUAUAAUAUAAUAUAUAUAUACACAUUUAUUUUAUUUUAAACUUGUCUAAUAUUUAUUUUUAUUUUUUUUAUUUUUUUUUUUUACACUAAACACCAGCAGGGGGACUGUCUGACAUUUCAGACAGUCCCCCUGCUGGCAGAUCCACAGCCAGCUAUAGGGGGCCAUGUGAGCGAUCACAUGAUCCCCGGGGGCCUGAUUUGCUGUGGGAGGGCUGCCUGGGCGGUCAGGCAGUCCUCCCGAAGAGGAUUGCGGUGGAGGUUUAUAAAGCCCAUUAUAAUGGGGAUGGCAUAGUAAGGGGUUAAUACAUGUUUAUGUGCAGGAUUACAUUGUAGUGAAGAGAUCUGACGAUCCUACAGUACAGAGAAGCAGUCCCUGUGUGUUUAGAGGAUCCUGCAAGACCCAGAGCUCCAACACGGUGUGUCCAUCUCACUCACUGAUACAGGACGGAAACAAUGAGCAGAACAUCCUGGAACUGACCAAUCAGAUCAUCCACCUGCUGACUGGAGAGGU
Molecule: long non-coding RNA, 18328 nt
Filed under: Pelobates cultripes (western spadefoot toad)
Lineage: Eukaryota; Metazoa; Chordata; Amphibia; Anura; Pelobatidae
Source: RNAcentral